GUCAGGAUGGCCGAGCGGUCUAAGGCGUCAGAUUUAAGCUCUGGUUCUCGAAAGAGAGCGUGGGUUCGAACCCCACUUCUGACA
Molecule: transfer RNA, 84 nt
Filed under: Trichonephila clavata
Lineage: Eukaryota; Metazoa; Arthropoda; Arachnida; Araneae; Nephilidae
Rfam family: tRNA
About the family: Transfer RNA (tRNA) molecules are approximately 80 nucleotides in length. Their secondary structure includes four short double-helical elements and three loops (D, anti-codon, and T loops).
Source: Rfam by way of RNAcentral